UACGUAGGGGGCAAGCGUUAUCCGGAUUUACUGGGUGUAAAGGGGGCGCAGACGGCGAUGCAAGCCAGGAGUGAAAGCCCGGGGCCCAACCCCGGGACUGCUCUUGGAACUGCGUGGCUGGAGUGCUGGAGAGGCAGACGGAAUUCCUAGUGUAGCGGUGAAAUGCGUAGAUAUUAGGAGGAACACCAGUGGCGAAGGCGGUCUGCUGGACAGCAACUGACGCUGAGGCGCGAAAGCGUGGGGAGCAAACAGG
Molecule: ribosomal RNA, 253 nt
Filed under: uncultured bacterium
Lineage: Bacteria
Description: partial 16S ribosomal RNA
Rfam family: Bacterial small subunit ribosomal RNA
Source: RNAcentral